Molecule: ribosomal RNA, 426 nt
Filed under: uncultured prokaryote
Description: bacterial SSU rRNA
Rfam family: Bacterial small subunit ribosomal RNA
Source: RNAcentral
UGGGGAAUCAUGGUCAAUGGGCGAAAGCCUGAACCUGCGACGCCGCGUGAGUGAUGAAGGUCGUAAGAUCGUAAAACUCUUUUCAGGGAUCUUAAAGCCUGUCUGUCAACAACAGGCAGGUCUGACUCUCCCUGGAAGAAGCCCCAGCCAACUACGUGCCAGCAGCUGCGGUAAUACGGAAGGUGCAAGCGUUAGUCGGAAUUACUGGGCGUAAAGGGUGCGUAGGCGGGAAUGUAAGUCGGUUGUGAAAUUCCGAAGCUCAACUUCGGAGCUGCAAUCGAAACUACAUUUCUCAGAGGAAUGGCGGAGAGAAUGGAAUUCCAUAUGUAGCGGUGAAAUGCGUAGAUAUAUGGAAGAACACCUGUGGCGAAAGCGGUUCUCUAGCCUCCUCCUGACGCUGAGGCACGAAAGCAAGGGGAGCAAACA